RNAcentral lists this ribosomal RNA (781 nucleotides) under uncultured Neocallimastigales. RNAcentral's name for it is "partial large subunit ribosomal RNA". It matches the Rfam family "Eukaryotic large subunit ribosomal RNA", at positions 25 to 634 of the family's 3401-position model. The record is from RNAcentral. Lineage: Eukaryota; Fungi; Neocallimastigomycota; Neocallimastigomycetes; Neocallimastigales.
ACACUGACGUCGCGACGCAUAUCAAUAAGCGGAGGAAAAAGAAACUAACUAGGAUUCCCUUAGUAACGGCGAGUGAAGCGGGAAGAGCUCAAAUUUGAAAUCUUCAAGGUUCUACCUUGACGAAUUGUAGUUUAAAGAAGUGUUUUCUGUUAGUGAAGUUGGCUAAAAGUUCUUUGGAAUAGGACAUCAUAGAGGGUGAGAAUCCCGUAUUUGUACCAUAUCCUUCUAGCUGUGUGAUACACUUUCAAAGAGUCGGAUUGUUUGGGAAUGCAGUCCAAAAUGGGUGGUAAAUUUCAUCUAAAGCUAAAUAUUGGCGAGAGACCGAUAGCGAACAAGUACCGUGAGGGAAAGAUGAAAAGAACUUUGAAAAGAGAGUUAAACAGUACGUGAAAUUGUCAAAAGGGAAGCGUUUGACACCAGUGUUGUUUUUCCGAAAAUCAAUUAUAAAUGUUUUGUUUCUGAGGAGUGAUGACUUCAUCGGCUUCCUUCUCUCUUCACGAAACUUUUUGUAAUGCACUUUUCGGUUAACAAGUCAACAUCAAUUUCUUUUGUUGUAAAAGAGUAUUCGGAAGGUGGCUUUCUUUUCGGAGAAAGUGUUUAUAGCCCUAUACUUCUACAAUCGGAGAGAUUGAGGUCUGCAGCGUAGAUCCUUCGGGGUUAGAUACACUUUGUGCUAAGUUAUAGCUUUUCAUAGACAACUUGUUGACUAUGUUUAGUCUUGUAGCUUACUCGCUUAUGCUAUUUUACCUACGCUUAGGAUGUUGAGUCGUAGAGCACGCAG